RNAcentral lists this ribosomal RNA (745 nucleotides) under Aquimarina sp. TBL_28. Its description in RNAcentral is "bacterial SSU rRNA". It matches the Rfam family "Bacterial small subunit ribosomal RNA", at positions 153 to 899 of the family's 1533-position model. Lineage: Bacteria; Pseudomonadati; Bacteroidota; Flavobacteriia; Flavobacteriales; Flavobacteriaceae. The record is from RNAcentral.
GAAAUUUGGAUUAAUACCUUAUAGUAUCAAGAUGUAGCAUUGCAUUAUGAUUAAAGAUUUAUUGCUAAAAGAUGGCUAUGCGUUCUAUUAGUUAGUUGGUAAGGUAACGGCUUACCAAGACAUCGAUAGAUAGGGGCCCUGAGAGGGGGAUCCCCCACACUGGUACUGAGACACGGACCAGACUCCUACGGGAGGCAGCAGUGAGGAAUAUUGGACAAUGGAGGCAACUCUGAUCCAGCCAUGCCGCGUGUAGGAAGACUGCCCUAUGGGUUGUAAACUACUUUUAUAGAGGAAGAAACAGUUCCACGUGUGGAACUCUGACGGUACUCUACGAAUAAGGAUCGGCUAACUCCGUGCCAGCAGCCGCGGUAAUACGGAGGAUCCAAGCGUUAUCCGGAAUCAUUGGGUUUAAAGGGUCCGUAGGCGGGUCUGUAAGUCAGUGGUGAAAGUUUUCGGCUCAACCGGAAAAUUGCCAUUGAUACUGCAGGUCUUGAAUUAUUAUGAAGUGGUUAGAAUAAGUAGUGUAGCGGUGAAAUGCAUAGAUAUUACUUAGAAUACCGAUUGCGAAGGCAGAUCACUAAUAAUGUAUUGACGCUAAGGGACGAAAGCGUGGGUAGCGAACAGGAUUAGAUACCCUGGUAGUCCACGCCGUAAACGAUGGUUACUAGCUGUUCGGACUUCGGUCUGAGUGGCUAAGCGAAAGUGAUAAGUAACCCACCUGGGGAGUACGUUCGCAAGAAUGAAA